RNAcentral lists this ribosomal RNA (310 nucleotides) under Salmonella enterica. Its description in RNAcentral is "bacterial SSU rRNA". It matches the Rfam family "Bacterial small subunit ribosomal RNA", at positions 1 to 307 of the family's 1533-position model. Lineage: Bacteria; Pseudomonadati; Pseudomonadota; Gammaproteobacteria; Enterobacterales; Enterobacteriaceae. The record is from RNAcentral.
AAAUUGAAGAGUUUGAUCAUGGCUCAGAUUGAACGCUGGCGGCAGGCCUAACACAUGCAAGUCGAACGGUAACAGGAAGCAGCUUGCUGCUUCGCUGACGAGUGGCGGACGGGUGAGUAAUGUCUGGGAAACUGCCUGAUGGAGGGGGAUAACUACUGGAAACGGUGGCUAAUACCGUAUAACGUCGCAAGACCAAAGAGGGGGACCUUCGGGCCUCUUGCCAUCAGAUGUGCCCAGAUGGGAUUAGCUAGUUGGUGAGGUAACGGCUCACCAAGGCGACGAUCCCUAGCUGGUCUGAGAGGAUGACCAG